UACGUAGGGGGCUAGCGUUGUCCGGAAUCAUUGGGCGUAAAGCGCGUGUAGGCGGUCCGGUAAGUCCGCUGUGAAAGUCGGGGGCUCAACCCUCGAAUGCCGGUGGAUACUGUCGGGCUAGAGUGCGGAAGAGGCGAGUGGAAUUCCUGGUGUAGCGGUGAAAUGCGCAGAUAUCAGGAGGAACACCUGCGGUGUAGACGGCUUACUGGACCAUCACUGACGCUGAGGCACGAAAGCGUGGGUAGCAAACAGG
RNAcentral lists this ribosomal RNA (253 nucleotides) under uncultured bacterium. RNAcentral describes it as "partial 16S ribosomal RNA". It matches the Rfam family "Bacterial small subunit ribosomal RNA", at positions 524 to 776 of the family's 1533-position model. The record is from RNAcentral.